RNAcentral lists this ribosomal RNA (229 nucleotides) under uncultured bacterium. Its description in RNAcentral is "partial 16S ribosomal RNA". It matches the Rfam family "Bacterial small subunit ribosomal RNA", at positions 568 to 796 of the family's 1533-position model. The record is from RNAcentral.
CGUGUAGGCGGUUGUUUAAGUCUGAUGUGAAAGCCCUGGGCUCAACCCAGGAAGUGCAUUGGAAACUGAACAACUUGAGUACGGGAGAGGAAAGUGGAAUUCCGAGUGUAGGGGUGAAAUCCGUAGAUAUUCGGAGGAACACCAGUGGCGAAGGCGGCUUUCUGGACCGAUACUGACGCUGAGACGCGAAAGCGUGGGGAGCAAACAGGAUUAGAUACCCUGGUAGUCC